GGAAGCUAGACAAUAAUAUACCUCCAAUCAACAACUGUACAACAAGUGUUACAUCACGGCGGAAAAUUACGUGAAACCAAAAUUAAGAAACGCAAAAAAAGUCAGUGCCAUAAUGGACGGGAUUCCCCUAGAAGGUCUACUUUCUCUAUUUCAUAACAUGAUUAUCAGGCGACAAUAGAGAUUUCGAUUCCUGAAAUAACCGCACGGUCGGAAAUGGAAAUCUGAGGAAUAACCAGAAAUAAAAGUAACAGAACGAGAAACGAUUUCCCGCUCAGCUAUUCGCUCAAGGCAAAUCGAGUAACCAACGUGGAAAAAGAUUGAGAGCGUGAGAGAUAGAUAUGGAGGGCGAUAUCGUCAGACGAAUAAAAUAAGAAACUCGAGGACGUACCUGUGUGGAUGCAGCCGGGCGACAAGCAAAUAUCUCCUUCCGGCGACUUCUCGACAACUUGAGGCACCUUCUUGGCAAGCGGCGCACCGAUGAGGGCUUCCGCUGUGGACGGUAGCAUUUCCGCAUUAGCCGGAGCUUUAUAUGCCAGCGAUGCAGCGUUACGGUGACAAGUGCGAAUGGUAAACCGUGCAGUGGUGGCAGUGGUGGUUGUGAUCGGGGCGAGCAGAACGUGAAUGGUUUACGUGCGGCGAUUCAACAUUUUUCAAUGAGUGCAACAAUGUGAUGUUAUUUUAAUGAGGUAUUGGCAAUAAUAAUGUGGUAUGAUAUUAUACUAAAUGUGGCUGUGCAUCGAAAUGAAUGAGUUAAAUAUUUCAGACUUAUAGUUAUUUAAAAUAAAUGCUUCAUACUAGCGAAA
Nasonia vitripennis (jewel wasp) is the source of this 803-nucleotide long non-coding RNA. RefSeq lists it as uncharacterized. The record is from RefSeq and is a predicted model, not a curated record. The transcript is spliced from 2 exons. NCBI's taxonomy places the organism in Eukaryota, Metazoa, Arthropoda, Insecta, Hymenoptera, Pteromalidae.